Molecule: ribosomal RNA, 434 nt
Filed under: uncultured bacterium
Lineage: Bacteria
Description: partial 16S ribosomal RNA
Rfam family: Bacterial small subunit ribosomal RNA
Source: RNAcentral
AGCGAACGCUGGCGGCAGGCCUAACACAUGCAAGUCGAACGAACCUUUCGGGGUUAGUAGCGGACGGGUGAGUAACACGUGGGAACGUGCCUUUAGGUUCGGAAUAACUCAGGGGAACUUGUGCUAAUACCGAAUGUGCCCUUCGGGGGAAAGAUUUAUCGCCUUUAGAGCGGCCCGCGUCUGAUUAGCUAGUUGGUUGAGGUAAUGGCUCACCAAGGCGACGAUCAGUAGCUGGUCUGAGAGGAUGAUCAGCCACAUUGGGACUGAGACACGGCCCAAACUCCUACGGGAGGCAGCAGUGGGGAAUCUUGCGCAAUGGGCGAAAGCCUGACGCAGCCAUGCCGCGUGAAUGAUGAAGGUCUUAGGAUUGUAAAAUUCUUUCACCGGGGACGAUAAUGACGGUACCCGGAGAAGAAGCCCCGGCUAACUUCGUG